Heterocephalus glaber (naked mole-rat) is the source of this 286-nucleotide long non-coding RNA. The record is from Ensembl. NCBI's taxonomy places the organism in Eukaryota, Metazoa, Chordata, Mammalia, Rodentia, Bathyergidae.
CUCAUGGCAGAGGACACCACUGUUAAUAGCAUCUGCUGCAUGCUCAUCAUUCUGUACACUCAGCUGUCCACGUUGCUGCUACUGUCCCCAUCUCAUAGCAUCAGACUCUCUUCCUACUGUCCAGAAAGGCUAGGACCUGAGCUGCUGGGGCCAAGACUUCCUCCUUCUCCUCUUCCUGAUCCUGGCAGCCAGCACGGUGCCUGAAACACAGGAGAUGUUCAGUAAAUGCUGGAGGGAAGGAGGGCAAUACAAGAAGAUACUGGAAAGGAAAACAUGAAAGAUGUGA